This 292-nucleotide ribosomal RNA is filed under the name uncultured prokaryote. Its description in RNAcentral is "partial 16S ribosomal RNA". It matches the Rfam family "Bacterial small subunit ribosomal RNA", at positions 505 to 796 of the family's 1533-position model. The record is from RNAcentral.
GUGUCAGCAGCCGCGGUAAUACGGAGGGUGCGAGCGUUAUCCGGAUUCACUGGGUUUAAAGGGUGCGUAGGCGGGUAUGUAAGUCAGUGGUGAAAUCUUGGAGCUUAACUCCGAAACUGCCACUGAUACUAUAUAUCUUGAAUAUUGUGGAGGUUUGCGGAAUAUGUCAUGUAGCGGUGAAAUGCUUAGAUAUGACAUAGAACACCUAUUGCGAAGGCAGCAGGCUACACAUAUAUUGACGCUGAGGCACGAAAGCGUGGGGAUCAAACAGGAUUAGAAACCCUAGUAGUCC